GAUGAACGCUAGCUACAGGCUUAACACAUGCAAGUCGAGGGGAAACGAUAUUGGAAGCUUGCUUCUGAUAGGCGUCGACCGGCGCACGGGUGAGUAACGCGUAUCCAACCUGCCCAUCACUUGGGGAUAACCUUGUGAAAGUAAGACUAAUACCCAAUGACGUCUCUAGAAGACAUCUGAAAGAGAUUAAAGAUUUAUCGGUGAUGGAUGGGGAUGCGUCUGAUUAGCUUGUUGGCGGGGUAACGGCCCACCAAGGCGACGAUCAGUAGGGGUUCUGAGAGGAAGGUCCCCCACAUUGGAACUGAGACACGGUCCAAACUCCUACGGGAGGCAGCAGUGAGGAAUAUUGGUCAAUGGACGAGAGUCUGAACCAGCCAAGUAGCGUGCAGGAAGACGGCCCUAUGGGUUGUAAACUGCUUUUAUAAGGGAAUAAAGUGAGUCUCGUGAGACUUUUUGCAUGUACCUUAUGAAUAAGGACCGGCUAAUUCCGUGCCAGCAG
This 499-nucleotide ribosomal RNA is filed under the name uncultured bacterium. Its description in RNAcentral is "bacterial SSU rRNA". It matches the Rfam family "Bacterial small subunit ribosomal RNA", at positions 28 to 514 of the family's 1533-position model. The record is from RNAcentral.